This 429-nucleotide ribosomal RNA is filed under the name Gemmatimonadota bacterium. Its description in RNAcentral is "Gemmatimonadetes bacterium partial 16S ribosomal RNA". It matches the Rfam family "Bacterial small subunit ribosomal RNA", at positions 355 to 776 of the family's 1533-position model. Lineage: Bacteria; Pseudomonadati; Gemmatimonadota. The record is from RNAcentral.
UAGGGAAUCUUCGGCAAUGGACGAAAGUCUGACCGAGCAACGCCGCGUGAGUGAAGAAGGUUUUCGGAUCGUAAAACUCUGUUGUUAGAGAAGAACAAGGACGUUAGUAACUGAACGUCCCCUGACGGUAUCUAACCAGAAAGCCACGGCUAACUACGUGCCAGCAGCCGCGGUAAUACGUAGGUGGCAAGCGUUGUCCGGUUUUAUUGGGCGUAAAGCGAGCGCAGGCGGUUUCUUAAGUCUGAUGUGAAAGCCCCCGGCUCAACCGGGGAGGGUCAUUGGAAACUGGGAGACUUGAGUGCAGAAGAGGAGAGUGGACUUCCAUGUGUAGCGGUGAAAUGCGUAGAUAUAUGGAGGAACACCGGUGGCGAAGGCGGCUCUCUGGUCUGUAGCUGACGCUGAGGCUCGAAAGCGUGGGGAGCAAACAGG